This 50-nucleotide transfer RNA is filed under the name Barleria prionitis. Its description in RNAcentral is "partial tRNA-Leu". RNAcentral also lists the same sequence under 5 other names. The record is from RNAcentral. Lineage: Eukaryota; Viridiplantae; Streptophyta; Magnoliopsida; Lamiales; Acanthaceae.
UUUUUGGGGAUAGAGGGACUUGAACCCUCACGAUUUUUAAAGUCGACGGA